GAUGAACGCUGGCGGCGUGCCUAAUACAUGCAAGUCGAGCGAACGGACGAGAAGCUUGCUUUUCUGAUGUUAGCGGCGGACGGGUGAGUAACACGUGGAUAACCUACCUAUAAGACUGGGAUAACUUCGGGAAACCGGAGCUAAUAACGGAUAAUAUUUUGAACCGCAUGGUUCAAAAGUGAAAGACGGUCUUGCUGUCACUUAUAGCUGGAUCCGCGCUGCAUUAGCUAGUUGGUAAGGUAACGGCCUACCAAGGCAACGAUGCAUAGCCGACCUGAGAGGAUGAUCAGCCACACUGGAACUGAGACACGGUCCAGACUCCUACGGGAGGCAGCAGUGGGGAAUAUUCCACAAUGGGCGAAAGCCUGAUGGAGCAACGCCGCGUGAGUGAUGAAGGUCUUCGGGUCGUAAAGCUCUGUUAUUGGGGAAGAAAAUAUGUAGAAGUAAAUGUGGACGUCUUGACGGUACCUAAUCAGAAAGCCACGGCUAACUACGUG
This 497-nucleotide ribosomal RNA is filed under the name uncultured bacterium. RNAcentral describes it as "partial 16S ribosomal RNA". It matches the Rfam family "Bacterial small subunit ribosomal RNA", at positions 28 to 507 of the family's 1533-position model. The record is from RNAcentral.